GGGAAGUUGUCGUUGAUGUUGUAGCGUCCACAGGUGGUGGAGGCUGAGCCUGUAGCUGUACUGGCGGCUUGAAUGCAGGUAAAACAGUGACUGUAAGUCAUUGGAGAGCUGGUGCUGUGGGUUCAAGGGUUGGAGUAAGUGUUUGGGAUGCUAGCCUUGCAAUGGAUUCUAGACGAAAUCAUUGACGAGUUGACGCCUAUUGAUUUGACAUAGUGCGGAAAAGUUUCA
This 228-nucleotide long non-coding RNA is filed under the name Gossypium raimondii (Peruvian cotton). RNAcentral describes it as "long non-coding RNA (GRAI_LNC003051)". Lineage: Eukaryota; Viridiplantae; Streptophyta; Magnoliopsida; Malvales; Malvaceae. The record is from RNAcentral.